This 1191-nucleotide long non-coding RNA is filed under the name Heterocephalus glaber (naked mole-rat). RNAcentral describes it as "lncRNA (ENSHGLG00000036690.1)". The record is from RNAcentral. Lineage: Eukaryota; Metazoa; Chordata; Mammalia; Rodentia; Bathyergidae.
GCAGGCUUCUCUGGAUGCCAGUGUGGACAGAGCACCUGUGUGCGAGCAGAGGAAAUGCUCGUGUCGACCACGACCCUAAAUGCGCAGCUGAGACGCCACUCAGGCACUGAUGGCUGGAGGAAGAUGCCUUUCAGAUGUCUAGGCCAGGCCCAGGCCCUUUGCCCAAAUCCUCCAACCCUACAGGGGCCGCAGACCUCCCUGAUGGCCUGAGUCCUGUCCUGAAAACUCGUUCCCCGGACCGCAUCCCCUGACCUGAACAAACCCCUCUGCCCUGUCCUUGCCUUUGUGGACUUCUGCAGCCUGGGCAGCAUCACUGCCCUCAUUUCUAAAGGCCGCGCCCCCUACCGGCCUGUCUCCUCCACACACCCCGGGGUGAGUUUCCCUCCUCCUGCGUCUUUCCGGGUUUUCGGAGCACGCCAAGCCACAGUUUCGGAAGGAGGCUGCCACGCUGUUCUCCUGCACCGCGGCGACCCCUCUGCUCCUCUCCCAGACCCUCCUGCAUCUGAGGACACAGCUGCCACAGUGGGGGCCACGGCGGGCGCCAGCCGGGUCCUGCAGCCGGGUGUGACGGCAAGACUCCAGGAGCCCCAGCACAGCCAGCUUCCGGACUUCCGUGCCCUCUCCGUGGCAGCGUGGGGCAGGGCCCCUCCAGGAGCCGAGUGCCCGGAGGCCGAGGCCAUGACCAUCGUCCGGAGGGAGAGGAGGGUUUGUCGCCGGGUUCCCUUGCCCUGCGGUGCUGCAGAGAGGAAGGCGGUUUUCAUGGGAUGCGGGAAGCCGAGUUUGGAUCCAUGCUGCCUGCUCUGCCCUCUCCACCCCCUGCCAGGACAGCAAGCAUAGGCUGUGUGAGACGCACACAUGCCUGAGUCUGGUCUCCAUGGCUUCUGUGGGGCACAUUUGGCCACUGGGUGAUUGGAAGGCACAGUGACUCCAGUCUCUACCAGAUUCUUCCAAGCUAAAGUGCCCAGAAAAACUAAAGGUCCAGAGGCAAGCAGGGGACACCUGUGGGGCACACGUGAGCAGGAAUGCAUGGGACUGACGGUGCCUUUGCACAGACAAAAUCUGUGGUGAGACACACCAAAUGGGAAAAAUAAACACUGUGCAUUUAUAAAAGAUUCAUGAGAUCAAAUAAUCGAACUACUCAAGUACCACAAAACAUAGCCUUGAAAAUAUACACUAUGGUUAAUCAACAAG